Neurospora crassa OR74A is the source of this 1036-nucleotide non-coding RNA. Lineage: Eukaryota; Fungi; Ascomycota; Sordariomycetes; Sordariales; Sordariaceae. The record is from RefSeq and is a predicted model, not a curated record.
GGGAAGAAGUCCACUAUCACCGUGGACGUCUUGCCCUUCUGUACAAAGUCGAGUCUGUCACGACCCGCCCACAGCGAUAAGUGCGACGGAGGAUGGGCGCAGGCAAUGUCACGAUUGACACCGGAGGAUGGUCGGUUGUUGGAGCGAAAGCAUGGGGGAUGAUCAGAUGUCCGGGUUACUAGAACGGUCGACGCAGAUAGUGGAGGAGAGAAGCGAUUCGGUGGAGCUCUCGAAGAGUCUCUCAGGCAGUCGAAUCUUAGAUUUCCGCGGUUGUUGCGGAGUGUCGUCGGCCAGGUCCUUUUUUUUUUUGCUCUUCCUUAAUUCCUUUUGUCAAGCUCGAGAGCAGGAACACGAACACCAAGAAUCGUUGCGAAGAAGUAGUAGACGACAAAAAAAGGCGACAAGAUAGCAGAUUGGACGGAAGAGUCGGAGAAGGCAAGAGGUCCACGACCGGGAGGAGGGAAGUGGAGGGCGGAAAUUCGAGAAAGAAGGGGCCUUGCCCAAACCAAGGGCGAGAGGCACUUGAGAUGGAAGUUGAGGUUGGCUGAACUGAGGCCGUUUCGUUGCGCGGUAGAGGCCCGGUAGUGGUGACUGGUGCUUAUGCUUGUGCCUGUGUCAAGCGUGCUGCUGUUGAAAGGUAAGGUAGGCACUCCAGAUAUGUAAAGGCACGCAGGGAAGCACAGGAGCCUCUUGUGCAGAACAGAAGGGCCCGACGGAGAGAGUUAACCAAACUCAACUCUGUGUCCAGGUCAGGGCAGGGCAGCCACAACCGCAGCGCGAGAAAAAUAAAAGAAAAACCCGGGGAAGUAAACAAACGUAUGUCGACUCAACAAGCCCAGACCCAAACAAAACCGCAGGGGAGAUCGAGGGAAGCGGCGCAAGAACGAGAGACAGAUGGCGAUUGGGGGGGCAGAUGGGAUGGAGAUGAGAAAAUGGAGGUUUUGACGGGUGACAACUGCACCACUCACUGCAAAAUGUCUGUGGAGGAGCAGUGGGAGCGUGGAUGCGCGAGAGGGCACAGCGGACGGGCAACAAC